Molecule: unclassified non-coding RNA, 279 nt
Filed under: fungal sp.
Lineage: Eukaryota; Fungi
Description: partial internal transcribed spacer region
Rfam family: Eukaryotic small subunit ribosomal RNA (bases 1-46)
Source: RNAcentral
AAGUCGUAACAAGGUUUCCGUAGGUGAACCUGCGGAAGGAUCAUUAACAAAUUCCAAAACACGCGUGUUGGAUCAAGUGACAUAAGACAUGUGCAAGUUGGUCGAGUGAACGGUGUGUCCCCACGUUGGGCCAUGCUAUCGACUUUCAAUGAGCCUUGUCAAUAGGGUUGCUUGAUCUAUUCAUAACACACACACAACACUCACAUUACCAUUUGACAACCAAGAGUAACCAAAAACGUUAAAUCGAAACAACUUUUAACAAUGGAUCUCUCGGCUCUU